Molecule: long non-coding RNA, 433 nt
Organism: Tigriopus californicus
Lineage: Eukaryota; Metazoa; Arthropoda; Copepoda; Harpacticoida; Harpacticidae
Exons: 3
Source: RefSeq, a predicted model, not a curated record
CCCAAGCCAACCUGCUCACUCACAUCUCAUCUAAGCCCUCAAUAUCUCCCGAGUCCUUCUACCCAACCUCUGAGCAUUUCCAAACAGCAUGAUGAUUGCAACGACAUGCUUUCUGGUCACUUUAAUAAUUUUAAACAAUGGACUAAGUGGUAACUCCCAUUUCGCAACCUUAGGUCAAGCAACUGACUCGUUAAAGAUUGAUUCCAAAAGUUUCUCCGUCGGCGAAAUCAAUGAUCGUUUGGAAUUCGAUGAUGGUUCCGGAAUCAAGGAAACGAUGUCAAAUGUGCCAGAAUGUCUAGGAAAAGGCUCUGAAUUUUUUACCAUUUCCCUGCAGAAUCCGAGUGGAUGUUAUAUUUUCCACACCACUGGAUUCAACAUGAAUGGAUAUGCGAAUAAUUCAGGAAAUUUUGGUCUAUCCCUUUGCAGUUACAAC